This 474-nucleotide small RNA is filed under the name Arabidopsis thaliana (thale cress). RNAcentral describes it as "ATSL283250". The record is from RNAcentral. Lineage: Eukaryota; Viridiplantae; Streptophyta; Magnoliopsida; Brassicales; Brassicaceae.
AGAGACAAAGGAAAAGUUCAGUGUAUAUUACCUCCAACUCGAAUUCAACACAAGGAAUCCACUUGUUGCGGAGAAGGUAGUCAACUUCCUUAGCCAAUUCAACGUCACUAAGGUCAGGGAGGUAAGAUAGAGUCUCAAACUUCUUCUUUCCGAUUGGUGGCCACACCUAUAAAUUCGAAUUCCCAAUUAUUCUAAAGUAUUGUUCAGUUGCACUAAUUGCACAUGACAAAAGACAGUUUUCAUUAAUGACAUUUACCUUCAUGCAGCUAACUCUUCCUCCGUUGCUUGUGAUGGAAGUAAUGUCGUUGUUGGCCUUGCGGGUGACCGGGAAAGAAGCGGAUGACUUCAAGCCGGUGAAUGGAGCGACCAUGGUGGCUUGAGCCGGGGAGGUAACCACAGCGGUGGAGGAGAACAUAGAGGAAGCCAUUACUUCUUCUUGUUGUUUCUCUUCUUCUUUUGGUUUUUCUCUUACUU